Molecule: long non-coding RNA, 280 nt
Organism: Drosophila willistoni
Lineage: Eukaryota; Metazoa; Arthropoda; Insecta; Diptera; Drosophilidae
Exons: 3
Source: RefSeq, a predicted model, not a curated record
AUGUGCGAGUCGCUGUGCAAAAACAAAAGAAAAUUUAACAAAAUAAAGCAAAUCAAAAUAUACAUAAGUUGGAUCUAACUGUAAAGGCAGCAGGCAGAGCAGCGAAGGCAACAAUAAUACAAAACAAAACAACGUGGGAGGCGAGAGAAUAGCCAGAGAGAGAGCGACAAAGAGAGCGAGAGAGAGAGCAAGUGAAACGAUCUCUGUACAAGGCCAACACAAAUCUAUGGAUAAAUGUAAACAGCAAACAAUGUACAAAAAAUAAACAAAUUGAAAGAAU